RNAcentral lists this transfer RNA (74 nucleotides) under Gemmatimonadota bacterium. RNAcentral describes it as "Gemmatimonadetes bacterium tRNA-Arg". It matches the Rfam family "tRNA". Rfam says of the family: Transfer RNA (tRNA) molecules are approximately 80 nucleotides in length. Their secondary structure includes four short double-helical elements and three loops (D, anti-codon, and T loops). The record is from RNAcentral. Lineage: Bacteria; Pseudomonadati; Gemmatimonadota. RNAcentral also lists the same sequence under 3 other names.
GGCCCCGUAGCUCAGGUGGAUAGAGCGCGGGAUUCCUAAUCCCGAGGCCACAGGUUCGAGUCCUGUCGGGGCCA